Molecule: ribosomal RNA, 235 nt
Filed under: uncultured bacterium
Lineage: Bacteria
Description: partial 16S ribosomal RNA
Rfam family: Bacterial small subunit ribosomal RNA
Source: RNAcentral
UACGUAGGGGGCAAGCGUUGUCCGGAAUCACUGGGCGUAAAGGGCGCGUAGGCGGCCAUUCAAGUCGGGGGUGAAAGCCUGUGGCUCAACCGACAGAAUUGCCUUCGAUACUGUUUGGCGUUGAGUUUGGUAGAGGGUUGGUGGAACUGCGAGUGUAGAGGUGAAAUUCGUAGAUAUUCGCAAGAACACCAGUGGCGAAGGCGGACCAACGUGGGCCACUACGUGAACGCUGAGA